GACGAACGCUGGCGGCGUGCCUAAUACAUGCAAGUCGAACGAAGCUGUUUUAACUGGUGCUUGCACCGACUUAAACAACCGAGUGGCGAACGUGUGAGUAACACGUGGGUAACCUGCCCCAAAGCGGGGGAUAACAUUUGGAAACAGAUGCUAAUACCGCAUAACCACAGAAACCACAUGGUUUCUGUGUCAAAGAUGGUUUCGGCUAUCACUUUGGGAUGGACCCGCGGCGUAUUAGCUAGUUGGUAAGGUAAUGGCUUACCAAGGCAAUGAUACGUAGCCGAACUGAGAGGUUGAUCGGCCACAUUGGGACUGAGACACGGCCCAAACUCCUACGGGAGGCAGCAGUAGGGAAUCUUCCACAAUGGACGAAAGUCUGAUGGAGCAACGCCGCGUGAGUGAAGAAGGUUUUCGGAUCGUAAAACUCUGUUGUCAGAGAAGAACGUGUGCGAGAGUAACUGUUCGUGCAGUGACGGUAUCUGGCCAGAAAGCCACGGCUAACUACGUGCCAGCCGCCGCAGUAA
This 524-nucleotide ribosomal RNA is filed under the name uncultured bacterium. Its description in RNAcentral is "partial 16S ribosomal RNA". It matches the Rfam family "Bacterial small subunit ribosomal RNA", at positions 28 to 523 of the family's 1533-position model. The record is from RNAcentral.